GAUGAACGCUGGCGGCGUGCCUAAUACAUGCGAGUCGAGCGAACAGACGAGGAGCUUGCUCCUCUGACGUUAGCGGCGGACGGGUGAGUAACACGUGGAUAACCUACCUAUAAGACUGGGAUAACUUCGGGAAACCGGAGCUAAUACCGGAUAAUAUAUUGAACCGCAUGGUUCAAUAGUGAAAGACGGUUUUGCUGUCACUUAUAGAUGGAUCCGCGCCGCAUUAGCUAGUUGGUAAGGUAACGGCUUACCAAGGCAACGAUGCGUAGCCGACCUGAGAGGGUGAUCGGCCACACUGGAACUGAGACACGGUCCAGACUCCUACGGGAGGCAGCAGUAGGGAAUCUUCCGCAAUGGGCGAAAGCCUGACGGAGCAACGCCGCGUGAGUGAUGAAGGUCUUCGGGUCGUAAAACUCUGUUAUUAGGGAAGAACAAAUGUGUAAGUAACUAUGCACGUCUUGACGGUACCUAAUCAGAAAGCCACGGCUAACUACGUG
Molecule: ribosomal RNA, 497 nt
Filed under: uncultured bacterium
Lineage: Bacteria
Description: partial 16S ribosomal RNA
Rfam family: Bacterial small subunit ribosomal RNA
Source: RNAcentral